This 350-nucleotide transfer-messenger RNA is filed under the name Marivivens sp. LCG002. It matches the Rfam family "Alphaproteobacteria transfer-messenger RNA". From Rfam's summary of the family: Bacterial tmRNA, also known as 10Sa RNA or SsrA, is named for its dual tRNA and mRNA-like properties. Lineage: Bacteria; Pseudomonadati; Pseudomonadota; Alphaproteobacteria; Rhodobacterales; Paracoccaceae. The record is from RNAcentral.
GCUCUUGAGAUCACCCUGCGGUCCGCAUAUAUCUUGGAUGUCCUUCGGGACUAUGGACAUAAACGCGCUCGUAAUAAGCGGAUCGGACCCGGGGGCGGUACCCGGCGGCUCCACCAAACAUCCUUCAUUUGGGGAUCAUGGGGCCGAAACAGGAUCGACGAACGUCUAAAGGGGUUUUGCUUUGUCCCGGUGAGAUACCACCGUUAUCGGUUCAAAAAGUAUAGUUGCAAAUGACAACCGUGCUCCGGUAGCUCUCGCUGCGUAAGCAGUGCGAAACACCGAAAAUUAAGCCCUUAGGCCUAGCAGCUUAAGGCGGGGUUCGGAGGUACCUGGCAACAGAAACCUCCACU